CUCUUUUGUUUUGUUCUGCGUUUUAAAAAAUACUUUGCAUUCCUUAUCUUGAUUCCUCAUGAGUGCGCGUGCAUUCGGCAGCAAGUGAAAGUGAAAUAUCAAUAAAAACCAAAAAUCGUUUGUUUGUUAAGUUUCAAUUACGAAUGGUUUCGAGUGUUCGCUUGUGUGCGUUUUUAUAUAUAUAUAUUAUAUAUACAUAUCUUCAUAUUUAUGUGUAUAAGCGUGUGUGUAGAUUUGCUGCCUUUGCUCGUUUAGUUGUAAUUGAAUGAAGCUGCCAAAACAUCGGCGACUCAAUCAACUUAAUGGAAAGCAAUCAAAUACGUUAAAAUCAUUUCGUCAGGCCAUGCGAUAAAGCAACCAAUUUUAUUGGAAUUAACGCCUACGGCGGCAAACUGAAAUAUGUUGACACAUAAAUUAUUACUCUACUCCGCUAAGCGCUAAAUAUAUUUUGAAUUUCAUCAAAACUUAUCCUUGCCACACCACGCGUCAAACGUCAGUGUUUGGGGUCUCAAUGAAGAGUCUGGAGCUCAUAGAUCAAAAUCAGAGUUACAACUAAAAACACAUGAAAUUGGUAUGCGAUCACAACUGAAAAAAAAAAAUAACUGAAAAUUUGCCAACGAAAAACUAUUACAAUAUACUGAACAACAACAACAACAAAAAAAAUCGCUCGAAAACACUCAACAAUAAUCUCAUCAAAACUCAACAAAAAUCAACUGAAAUUGGUUAAUGUCUAAAAAAUUCUGCACUCAACGCUUGCCCAAAUGAUUGACACUGUAGGCAGCGGAAAAAAAAAUUGAUGAAAAAAACAUUUAGCAAAAGAAAAUAACAACAAAUGAAUAAAAGAGUAUAGAAAAAUUGGAAAGUACCGUGUAAUAUUGGUUUGGAGAAAUUCGUUGCGAACACGAUGCGUGAAAAUUCUUUAAAAAUUUAAAUAAAUAUUUCAAAAAUGUUAAACUUAUAAAAAAGACUUGCCUAAAAUAUGUCGAAUAUAUUGUGUAAAAGUGAUUCUCCCAUUUUUCCCCCAAAAGGAAUGCAUUUGUAAUUCAGCAAAUUUACGUAAUGAGUGUGCAUAAAAAUUAAUAUUUAAAAAAGCGCAUCGCUUUUG
This is a long non-coding RNA of Ceratitis capitata (Mediterranean fruit fly), 1105 nucleotides long. RefSeq lists it as uncharacterized. Lineage: Eukaryota; Metazoa; Arthropoda; Insecta; Diptera; Tephritidae. The record is from RefSeq and is a predicted model, not a curated record. The transcript is spliced from 4 exons.